AUGCCUGCGCGCUGCCUCUCUGCCGCGAUCUUCUCUCUGGCUCUGUGUGUCUGCCGGGCCGAUGAGAUCGACCAGUGGCCGGGAUCUCUCAGCGUCCGCCUGGGGGCGACGGCCGAGAUGAAGUGCCUUCAGAAGGGACAGCUCCGUGAGAACAUGCUCUGGUACCGCCAGCCGUCCACCGGCGGGCUGGCGUUGAUCGGGUCCGUCUAUCUCAGCAGCGAGGCCCGGCUGGAGGAGGGCUUCAAGAGCGGGUUCGUCAUCACCAGGGCAAAGGAGAAUAAGGAGUCUACCCUCCAGGUAGAGAGCGUGAAGGCCGCGGACGUGGCGACCUAUUUCUGCGCUACUACUGAUGGCGCACAGCGUUGUAGAGAUACUGGGCGCCAAUACAAAAACUCCAACAGGUCUCCCUGCAGAGCAACUCUGCCAAGGUUCCGGGAGCAGAUCGGAACUAGGUAUAGAACGGGAACUGGGUGGGCCAAGGGGCCUUUUACUUUGCUGCAGGUGUUCUCCGUCUCAUGGCUAGGAUUGGAAUAGAUUUAUCAUUGUCACGCCACCGAGAUGUAGUGAAAGGCUUUGUGUGCAUGCAGAUGAAAUCAUUACACAGUGCAUUCAGGUCGAACAAGUUCCGUCGGAUGUAGAACCGGGCAACACAGAAACAGGCCCUUCGGCCCACAAUGUUGUGCUGACCCAGCUAAAAAGGAAAUGGAAGCAACUACCUGUAUUUGUAAACAAUACAGAUCACUUUGUAGAGAUCUGUUUUCACUUUCACACGGAAGAGGCUUUUUCUGUUGAUGAAGGCCAAAUUAACUCCACUGCGAUACAGUUGAUACGUAUCCGCUGAGCGGCAUUUCUGCGCUGGUCGACGAAUUCUUCAUGGGAGACGUCCGCAGACAGAGGCCAGGCUGGUUCAAUGUGACUGGAAGGCGACGGUUACCCGGAAAGUUCAACGUUACAACAGCCGUGUGCAGACGAGCGUCUCUGAACGCACAACACGUCGAACACUGAGGCGAAUGGGCGACAGCAGCAGAAGACGAUGAGUCUACACUCAGUGGGCAGUCUGUUGGGUACAGCAGGUAUCUAAUGACGCUGAUAUCAUACCCAGUGACCUGCUUACCUGGCUAUCUGAAGCACUUUCCGUGCAUCCAGCCCUCCACCAAGUCUGCUAAUCUCUCUCUCUCUCUCUCUCGCUCGCUCGCUCUCUCCUUCUCCACAACAGAGAAAGACAGAUAGAUAUACAGAGAAUAAGCGAGACAGACAGAUAGAUAAUAUAGAUAGAUAGAUAGAUAGAUAGAUAAAUUAGAUAGUUAGAUAUAUAGAUAGGCAGAUAUCUAGAGAGAGAAAUAAACACAGAUAGACAGAUAAAUAGAUAGCUCGAGAGGGAGACAGUUAGAGAGAGAGAGAGAGAGACGAUCACUGGUAGGUGGACUGAUAUCUAGAUGAAUAGAUAGAUAGAUAUGUACAUAGAUAGAUAGAUGGAUAGAGGGAGAGUUAGAUAAACAAAUGGAUAAAUAGAUAGUGAGACAGACAGACAGAUAGGUAGAUAGAUAGAUAAAUAAAUUGAUAUAUAGACAAAUAUAGAUAGAUAGACAGAUAGAUAGAUAAAGAGAUAGAGAGAGCAAGAGAUAGAUUAUUAUUGGUACAUAGACAGACAGAUAGAUGAAUAGACAGAUAGAAAGAUAGAUAGAUAUGUAUAUAGAUACAUGGAAAGAUAAAUUUAUCAAAAUGAACAGACAGGUGGGCUGACCGGGAGUAAGAACUUGGGCGAAUUGUGCGGAGUUGACAAAGUGGGUGUUUCUUUGCACCAACAGCAGGGGGCGGCAUCGGAGCACCAAAAGCAACCGUCUCCGCCCGGCCCGGCCAAGGAACAGGGACAGAGAGGUAACCGCAGGGACGGGAAAGGGAUCCUGCCCUUCUGCCCCUCUCAGUUCCUCCGCGGAAUUGUUGAAAGCGCAAAUACGGUCAAACAAGAGUCAGGACAAAUAAAGGGCAGUCUGGAUAGGGUGGAAAGGAGGCAGGUCAAGCAAACAUAGCCCGCAAUGUUGACGCUAACUUGCUAACAACCUGAACGUCUGAUUUUCUUCUCCAGUCGCAGCUUUAUGGGGGAAGGUCAAAGAGCGAGCCAUUGCUGAAAAGAAUCUCAAAUGAAAUCAAGGCUAGAGUUUGCCAGAAGGAUUGUGGGAGAUUCUGAAUCAACUGGGAGAAGUUUUGAUCGUCCGAUGGAACUAAAAUUGAGCUUUUUUGGCCAUCGGCUGUGUUUGGCGUAGGUCAAAUGCCCACAUCAUCAAAAGCACACCAUCCUAACCGUGAAGCGUGGCGGUGGCUGCAUCAUGCUGUGGGGAUGCUUCACUGCAGCAGGCCCUGGAAGGCUUGUGAAGGUAGAGGGUAAAAUGAAUGCAGCAAAAUACAGGGAAAUCCUGGAGGAAAACCUGAUGCAGUCUGCAAUAGAACUGCGACUUGGGAGGAGAUUUGUUUUCUAGUAAAGCAGUGACCCCAAGCACGAAGCCAAAGCUGCAAGGGAAUGCAUUGAAAGCAACAAAGUUAAUGUCCCGGAGUGGCCAAGUCAAAGUCCAGACCUCGAUCUAAUUGAGAAUUUUUGGCUGGAUUUGUUAAUGGCUGUUCACUCAUGAUCCCCAUGCAAUCUGACAGAUCUUGAGCAGUUUUGACAAGAAGAAUAGGGAAAAAUUACAGUGUGCACAUCUGCAAAGCUGAUCGAGACCCAUGAACACAGACUCAAGUCUGGAAUUACUGACAAAGGGGCAUCUACUGCGUACUGACUCGAAGGGGGUAAAAACUUGGUCAAUCAAUUAUUUUUUGUUUCAUGUUUGUAAUUAAUUUAUAUCACUUUGUAGCGAUCAUUUCCUGUCGUACAGUGUCAAAAUAAUCCAAAUUACAUCCACAGCGACUCAAUGUUGUAAAACAAAAAAACAUGAAAACUUUCAAGGAGGGGUGCGUAAUUUUCGCAGGCACUGUGUCCGACCAUAAAUCGGUAAGGUCCAGGAGCAGAAUUAGGCCACUGGCCCAUCGAUUCUGCAGCGCUAUUUCAACAUCCAUUUUCCAUCUCACCCCCAAUCUUCAGCCUUCUCACCGUAUCCCUUGAUCCUCUGACCAAUCAAGUAUCUAUCAACAUCUGCCUUAGAUGUUCAUCUGCGUGUGACAAACAAGUCCACCAACUCACCACUCUCUAUCUAAAGAAAUUCCUCCCCAUCUCCUUUCUGAAAGGACGCCCCUCCAUUCUGUGUUUGUGCCCUCUGUCUUAUACUUAUACUUUAUACUUUAUCGUCCCCGAAGAAUUGAUACUAGAACGUACAAUCACCACAGCAAUAUAUGAUUCUGCGCUUCCCACCACCUGGAUUACAGAUCUUAAAUAUUAAAAAUUGUAAAAAUUAGUAAAUAUGAAAAUUUUCAAUUAUAAAUCAUAAAUAGAAAAUGGAAAAAUGGAAAGUAAGGUCGUGCAAAAAAACCGAGAGGCAGGUCCGGAUAUUUGGAGGGUACGGCCCAGAUCCGGGUCAGGAUCCGUUCAGCAGUCUUAUCACAGUUGGAAAGAAGCUGUUCCCAAAUCUGGCCGUACGAGUCUUCAAGCUCCUGAGCCUUCUCCCGGAGGGAAGAUGGAUGAAAAGUGUGUUGGCUAAG
Mobula hypostoma (lesser devil ray) is the source of this 3630-nucleotide non-coding RNA. The record is from the annotation of a RefSeq genome assembly. NCBI's taxonomy places the organism in Eukaryota, Metazoa, Chordata, Chondrichthyes, Myliobatiformes, Myliobatidae.